GGCCCUCCGCCAUUUCACGGGAGGUCAUACCUGCACAAUGCCUUACGGGGUCAAUUGCCGCGGUAGCCUGACCGUGCUAAGGUAGCGUAAUCAAUAGCCUAUUAAUUGUUGGCCUGUAUCAAUGGUCUUACGCUGGUGGUACUGUCUCUACGGCACUUAUUUGAAUUUGACCUCUGGGCGAAAAGGCCCAGAUAAAACUGAAAGACGAUAAGACCCUAUCGAACUUUAGGCAGACCAACCCCUAAGUGGCCUUAGGCCCUAAAGUGUUGCUAAACCUUUGGUUGGGAAAACCGGGAACCAAGAAAAGCGUUCGCCUCUCCAAAAUACACACUCACCUAAUAGUAGAAAUUCUUGCAGGUUUAAAUGAAUUACCCACGAGGGUUACCAAAAAAUUAGUAACAAAAAGGCUUUACGUAGCAUAAUUAAGUUGUCUUAAGAUCCUAUCAGUCGCUUAUAAAAAUCGACAAUUAGCAGACGGAAGAGUUACCGUAGGGAUAACAGCGUAAUCCCCCCGGCGAGACCACAUUAAGGGGGGGGUUUGCGACCUCGAUGUUGGCUUGGGGCAUCCUAAAAGUGCAGGGGCUUUUAAGGGUUGGUCUGUUCGACCAUUAAAGCCGCACGU
This 622-nucleotide ribosomal RNA is filed under the name Notoacmea parviconoidea. Its description in RNAcentral is "partial 16S ribosomal RNA". It matches the Rfam family "Bacterial large subunit ribosomal RNA", at positions 1830 to 2601 of the family's 2925-position model. Lineage: Eukaryota; Metazoa; Mollusca; Gastropoda; Acmaeidae. The record is from RNAcentral.